UAUUAUGAAAACAGUUAUAAGCUUAUAUAUCCUCUCAAGGGAUGUCAGAGACCCCCAAAGGUCCAUGGACAAUACUAUGAGAAGUGCUGCUUCUUUAAAGGAAUAGAAAAGGAUCCUGGAGAGAAUUAAGGGAAAGUGUCUUUUCCCCAAUUCUUUCAUCUUUUCUUUUCUUACAGGUAAUUCCACCAGGAGGUCCCGAAUUAUAUACAUACAACACACAGGAUUCCUGGACCAUAAAGUGCUGAAGCUGACAAGAGGCAUGAAAAAGAAUCCAGUUCUUCACACAUAUGAUGAGAGAAGCCCAGAAGAGUAAAAUGAUAUGUCUUAAUCAGUUCAAUCAGCUGGAUUAGCUUUUAUUGGGUUAAGUGCACCUAAUAUAUAAAUUCCAAAGUCAAGUUG
RNAcentral lists this long non-coding RNA (399 nucleotides) under Monodelphis domestica (gray short-tailed opossum). RNAcentral describes it as "lncRNA (ENSMODG00000030163.2)". The record is from RNAcentral. Lineage: Eukaryota; Metazoa; Chordata; Mammalia; Didelphimorphia; Didelphidae.